This 71-nucleotide transfer RNA is filed under the name Marmota monax (woodchuck). RNAcentral's name for it is "tRNA.Ala". It matches the Rfam family "tRNA". Rfam says of the family: Transfer RNA (tRNA) molecules are approximately 80 nucleotides in length. The record is from RNAcentral. Lineage: Eukaryota; Metazoa; Chordata; Mammalia; Rodentia; Sciuridae.
GGGGUUGUAGCUCAUUGGUAGAGCACUCACUUAGCAUGUGUGAGGCACUGGGUUUGAUCCUCAGCACCACA